AAUCUUCCACAAUGGGCGAAAGCCUGAUGGAGCGACGCCGCGUGAGGGAUGAAGGCCUUAGGAUUGUAAACCUCUAAAAGAGGGACGAUAAUGACGGUACCUCUUGAAUAGCACCGGCUAACUCCGUGCCAGCAGCCGCGGUAAUACGGAGGGUGCAAGCGUUAUCCGGAUUCACAGGGUUUAAAUGGUGCGUAGGUGGGCAGAUAAGUCAGUGGUGAAAUCUUCCGGCUUAACCGGGAAUCUGCCGUUGAUACUAUUUGUCUUGAAUAUUGCGGAGGUAAGCGGAAUAUGUCAUGUAGCGGUGAAAUGAUUAGAUAUGACAUAGAACACCAAUUGCGAAGGCAGCUUACUACACAAUCAUUGACACUGAGGCACGAAAGCGUGGGUAG
Molecule: ribosomal RNA, 389 nt
Filed under: uncultured bacterium
Lineage: Bacteria
Description: bacterial SSU rRNA
Rfam family: Bacterial small subunit ribosomal RNA
Source: RNAcentral